UACGUAGGCGGUUAAAUAAGUCAGGUGUAAAAGGCAUUGGCUCAACCGAUGUAAGCACUUGAAACUGUUUGACUUGAGUAUAGGAGAGGUAAGUGGAAUUCCUAGUGUAGCGGUGAAAUGCGUAGAUAUUAGGAGGAACACCAGUGGCGAAGGCGACUUACUGGACUAUUACUGACGCUGAGGUACGAAAGCGUGGGGAGGCAAAACA
Molecule: ribosomal RNA, 208 nt
Filed under: uncultured bacterium
Lineage: Bacteria
Description: partial 16S ribosomal RNA
Rfam family: Bacterial small subunit ribosomal RNA
Source: RNAcentral